Long non-coding RNA from Physeter macrocephalus (sperm whale), 6090 nucleotides. RefSeq lists it as uncharacterized. The record is from RefSeq and is a predicted model, not a curated record. The transcript has 4 exons. NCBI's taxonomy places the organism in Eukaryota, Metazoa, Chordata, Mammalia, Artiodactyla, Physeteridae.
CGUUAUCUCAAGAUAGCUGUGUAAAGAUAAUAAUUGUAGCUCAAACUGUCAGUAACAGAAUGAGUACUCAUGGCAGUGUUUUGGUCUAAGCAUUUUUCAGGAGCAAUAUUCUACACCUCAUAUUAAUUUAAGAAGCAUAAAAUAGUGUUUUUAUACUGUAGAUUAUAACUCUUUAGUGGUGAUUAAAUCAAUUUAGUGUGUCAUAAGCUGUCAUGAUCAGUAUCUUUAAAAAACAAUAUAAAACAUCGGAAUAUAUUGCUUAGUGUAAAUAAUAUGUAUUGUUUUGUGAAACUUGUUUCAGGUGUGUAUGUGUGUGUGUGUGCGUGCACACACACAUCAGAUCACAGUAUAAAAAGAAUGUCUUCCUAUUGGUUGUGGUUGGAAAGGUUUGAAAACAUUGAAAUCAGAAUAUACAGGACUUAAGGCAAGCACCAGCUGUAAAGGAAAGAAAGAAAAUAUAUUUGCAGUCAAUGGUAGUUCAUUCAUUCCACAGCUAUUUCUUCAAUGUAUUGAACACCAAAUGUAUGCAUAACAACAGCCUAAAAUUAGGAGGAGACACAAGUGCAACUUUUAAGGUGAGCCCUUCUCUCUGGGGAGAGUUUACAAUCUUGUUGGAAAGAGAAGUUGCAGAGAGGAAUCAGUUCAAUAACAGUCCAAGGCAGUAUGAGAUUAAGUUCUAAACUAUACCAAUAAUAGUCAUCAAUUUCAGAAAACUGAUGUGGGCAAUAGCAGUUGAGGAGCGUUCAGAAGAAAGGAGCUGAAUUUGAGCUGAACUUGAAAUGGGAGGAUGAAGGUGGGAGAGAAAGGCUUUCCAGCAGGAAGAAGUGCGGAAAGCUAAAGAUGUUUGAGGUACAACUAAUUUGGAGUAAUAAGAGGUGGGGUUGGGUGAAUAAGGGGAGGCAUAGUAUUAGGAGAGUUUCUGGUUAGUCAUGGGAGUUUACCGGAAAUUGUGCAAUCACUGGAAUUUCUGAACAAUGAAAUGAAUGACAGGUUGAAAUCAGAGUGUUAGUCCAUAGACAUUAUAUGUGAUAGGGUGAAGAGAGAAGAAAGGUCAGAUAGGAAAUUAUUGCUAGAGUGAACCAUCCAGUUCAAAAGUGCUGGACUGGCAAAGAGCCAGAAGUAAAGCACGUUGUAGGAAGUUGUGCUCUGGUGACAGACAAGGAAACCUGAAACUUAAGCCAUUUCAAGUGAGGUGACAGACCUUCCAAGAGAAUAACAGCAUCACAAAACAGCCACUGAUUUAAUGAUUUAUCAGAAAUUCUCAAUUGGGAGAAGAAAUGUUAAUGGAGGAUUUCCUGAGGACUAUGUACUCUCUUCUGGUGAUGUCAAUUUUAUUUUUAGAUUAAAGAAAAAUGAUCAGGAAUCUGUCUUUAGAUAGUCUUGUUUUGGCUCCUGCUGCAGUUACUUUUACUGAACUGCAGUUUAGGAUCAUAUGAACAGCAUAAGUCUAGAGACUGUAGGAGAUGCAGCCUCAGGAACCCCGCGACUGCUUUUGCUGUGGAGGUGCAACUGGGAGCACCGCUCACUCAUCACACUGUGUUCUCUUGACGAAAGCCUGCAGAAAUUCAUUACCACAAAUGACUCUGCUUCUCUUGAGCAACUAGUUUGUUUCAUAAGCUUGUGAGCAUUAUGUAAUUGAAUGUGCUUCCUUCUGUCCUUGUGUUGGUACUUUAAAAAUUCAGAGGCUUAUUUAUGGCAAAUGCCCAGACUCUACAGUGUACACUUGUGAAUUACUCUUACCCUGACUUCUCAUUUUGUCUACUUUUAGUUUCCCUUUGGCUGGUUACUCCACCUCCUUUAUAUCUUAUUAUACUUUGUAUAUUUUGUUAAGCCAUCUUCCAUUUCUGAAUAGAAGGAAUAAAGGAAAACAUAAGACAAUCAUUCAUUUUAUAAGUCAUAAAGAUUAGUUUUAAGAUAACGAUGAGCUCCAAAUAAUCUAAUUGGAAGAUUAUGUGAUUUCUUUACCACUACCACAAUUACAUAUGUUUUUCACUACUUUACAAUGAGUAUAGAUGUUAAUUUGUAUGAGUAGGAGAUUAACUGGAAGGAAACAAAACAACGAGUAAAGGCUGAAGCCAGGUUAGGCAGUAUGUGAAAGGAGGAAAAAAAAUGUGAGCAAGAAGACAUGCUGAGUCAAAGAGAGAACUGUUUGUUAAGGCUGCAAGAAGUAGAAUGGGUUGGAAGUUGAAUACUGAGAAAUACUAAUUCAAAGAGAUUUCUGUAUGGGAAAGAGGAAGAAAGUGGCUGCUUGUUUGAGGGGUUUUUGGUGAUAGCUUUCCACUAAGGAAGGGUCUGGGAGAUUCACAGUAAUAACAGUAAGGGGGUAUCAGAGAGCACUUGAGGGUGCAGUGAGGCAGAAUCCUGGAUAAUCCUGGAUAACAGGUAUAAAGCCUGUUGCUGCUUAGUGCUCAGGGAGGCUGAGAAGAAGUUCUCUGGGAUGGACUGAAGACAGUGGCUAGGUUGGUUUGGGAUCAGGGGAGAUAGGAUGCUGGGGCAGAAACAGAAUGCAGCCAGGAGGAGAAGCCACACUUCUCCAGGAGUCAGGUGAGAGAAAGAUCUCAACUGAAGACAUCUGAGAUCUGGCAGUGGCCCUACAAGAACCCAGAGUAGGAAAUCAUUGGGUAACCUAGGGCCUGGCACACAGUAUGUGUUCACAAAUUUGGGGGCUGCAUUGGGUCUUCGUCGCUGCUUGCGGGCUUUCUGCAACUCUUCGUUGCGGUGUGUGGGCUUCUCAUUGCGGUGGCUUCUCUUGUUGUGGAGCACGGGCUCUAGGUGCGUGGGCUUCAGUAGUUGUGGCACGCAGGCUCAGUACCUGUGGCUUGCGGGCUCUAGAAUGCAGGCCCAGUAGUUGUGGCGCACAGGCUUAGUUGCUCCGUGGCAUGUGGGAUCUUCCCGGACCAGGGUCCAAACCCGUGUCUCCUGCAUUGGCAGGCAGAUUCUUAACCACUGCGCCACCAGGGAAGCCCCAGAAGUUUUUCUGUUACAUAAAUAAAGCUGUACCAAAAUGAACUCUGUAUCUAUGUUACUGUGAUUGCCCACUUGCCUGUGGUUAAUAUCCUGACAUGGCUCUCAAAGCAAGACAGCCAUUUGUUGUGCAUAUAUGACAAGAUCUGGAUGAGUCAGCCUUUGGAAGUGACUUCCUACAGAGGAGAGGAAAGAGAUGAAUGAGGCUGUGGUCUCAGCUGCUUGUGGGUCAUUUCACAUGCAGCAUGUACCUCUGUUUGGAAAUCUCUUCUGAUAUCCUCUACCGUCUUACUUGAAUAAUUCUGUUACCGAGUCCAAGCUGCCAGUGAAUCAGAGACGAGGUGCUGAGGCAAGGAAUACGACUUUAUUCAGAAAGCCCGCAGACCUGGAAGAUGGCAGACUAAAGUCUCAAAAUAACCAUCUUAUCGGAGUUUGGAUGCCAGUUUCUUUUAUAGCACAGAGAAUGGGGAGGAGAUGAGGAAGUAAAGUAAAAAGGCCAUACGUUUUGCAAAUAUCACCUGGAAUGGCCAGUCUCGGGGAGGGGAUGUGUUCAUUUCUUCUUUCUUGUAGCCAUCCACAGUUGGAGAGGGUCCGGAUGUUUGACUGAACAAAGGCACUUUGGUUUAUCAUUCAGGCAGAGGGGCAAGGUUCCCCAAGGCAGGCCGUUAUGUAUAGACAGUGUCCUUUUAGUGAAUAAAAGCAGUGGAAAGGAAAGGUUAAGGUAAAAGAAACAGAUCCAACAUGUAGUCAAGAUUUGGCUCUUCCCUGUUACAAUUCUUCUUCAUCAUUUAAGUCUCAGCUUAAAAGUUACCCUUCAGAGAAGGUCAGCUCUCCUUGUAGAGCUGUGUUAAGACAAUUAUAAAUCCUACGCACUUAAAAGAUCUCAGUGGCUGCCAGCCCCCAACUAAAUAUGAAUUCAAACACACACAAAAAAGUGUGAAACAUUUACCAUUUUUUUUGAAAUAACAUACAGCAAAAUGUACACAUAUCCUGAAUAACUUCUUUUUAGAUUUUCUUCUGAUUCAAAUUAUCCCCCUCUGUCUCUCUCUCAUACAUGCUGCCCUAUUCUCUCUCUCUCUUUUUUUUUUUCUUGAGCCUCUGCUGGUGUCCCAAACAAGUGCUGAGUCAGCCGUCCAGAUGGAGCAAUGCUUCUUGCCAGUCAUCAUAUACAACAUACUCAGUGACCUUGCAUGAAGAAACAUCCUGUCUGCAGAAAAGGAGACUGCACCUCAUCUACACAAGGCAGGGCUGAUAAGCAUGAUGAGGUGGUGAAUAACAGAGGCUCAGAAAUUGGACUCUACGGUUUUGAAUCCUGCCUUCACAACUUCUGUGUGAUGUUGAACAAAUUACUUAACCUCUCAGACUCUCCAUAAAAUGAGGAUAAUAAUAUCUACUUCACAGGGUUGUUGCAGGGAUAGAAUGAAAAAAAUACAUGUAAAUCACUUAGAACUACGCCUGACACAUAUUUAGUACUUAGUAAAUGCUAGCUACUAUUUAUAUUUUAACAAUAGAAUGAGGCACCACUGUAAACUAUCAUGGUAUGUAAUCCAUCCCACCAAUUAUUUAUGGAUAACUGUUACUUAUUCUUUUGUUAAAAAGUAUUGCAUAUGAUGUCUAUGACAUAUUUGCUUCUUAUAAUAAUGAAACUUCAGAAAAUUCACUGUGUGUUAUCAAAUGUGAUUGUCUCGAACAAUUACUGAGUAUGAUCUCAAUCAUCAGAGUGGAAAAACGUUACCGUGGAAUCACAUGGGACUCUGAGACUCUCUGAUACACAUGCACCCCUUACAACACCUACACAGUGACAUACAUGCAAAAGGUACUGCUUGCCUCAGUGUUUGCAAGAACAAACAAGAAAUGUGUGUCUCUGAAAUAAAAUGUUAACUUUUUAUGCCAGUAUAGGCAUUUAUUGUUUGUGGGAACAUCAUUUAACAGAUAGAUAUUAACAGUUUUACAAUUGGUUACUUAGGAUACUGUAUUUUAACUCAGCAUCAGUCAGUUUUUCUGAAAUGUGAUAUAUUUUCUUCCUCCUUUAAUAUUUGUACUAAUAACAAUGGUACCUAACAUUCAUUGACCAAUUACUACAUGCCUGUGCUUUCCUCGUAUUAACUUGGAACAGCCUGAUGAGCUGGAUACUCAUUAUUUCCAUUUUAUAGGUAAGGCACAGAAGUUUGAAUAGCUUGACUAAGUGAAUAGCUAGUGCGUGGUGGAGCCUAGAUUUGGACCAGUAAUCUCUAGCAUCAACUCAGUUUAACCAUUGUACCAUACUAUACACUAAGUUAUAUAUUAGUGUGUUAAAUGUAUAAUGUUCUACAAAAUGCCUGACAGGGGUUUGCAUUUGCCAUUGGUUGAUUUUAAAUCAAGUGAAAAUUAGAAGUGUGACUCUGAGACUAUGUUAAAGUGAACUUUAUAACAUUUAAAAAAUAAAUGUAUUUAUUUUAUUUUUAUUUUUGGCUGCGUUGGGUCUUCAGUGCUGCACGCGGGCUUUCUCUAGUUGUGGCGAGUGAGGGCUACUCUUCGUUGCAGUGAGCUUCUCACUGCGGUGGCUUCUCUUGUUGCGGAGCACGGGCUCUAGGCGCAUGGGCUUCAGUAGUUGUGGCUCACGGGCUCUAGAGCACGGGCUCAGUAGUUGUGGUGCAUGGGCUUAAUUGCUCCGCGGCAUGUGGGGUCUUCCCGGACCAGGGCUUGAACCCAUGUUUCCUGCAUUGGCAGGCGGAUUCUUAACAACUGCGCCACAAAGGAAGCCCGUAUAACAUUUUUGUAAAAUAUUUUAUAUAGAAGUAUACCUUAUCCAGUUUACAUAGAUUUUGUUUUUUUACGCUCUAAUUUGGUUCUUUAAAGUGAAAUUUUUAAAAGCCCUUUCUUUUUUUUUUUUUUUUUUUUGCGGUACGCGGGCCUCUCACUGUUGUGGCCUCUCCCGUUGCGGAGCACAGGCUCCGGACGCGCAGGCUCAGCGGCCAUGGUUCACGGGCCCAGCCGCUCCGUGGCAUGUGGGAUCCUCCCGGACCGGGGCACGAACCCGUGUCCCCUGCAUCGGCAGGCGGACUCCCAACCACUGCGCCACCAGGGAAGCCCAAAAGCCCUUUUUUAAAGAAGAAAAAAACAGGUAUAAUGAAGCUCACUUUGUCA